This 301-nucleotide ribosomal RNA is filed under the name uncultured bacterium. RNAcentral describes it as "partial 16S ribosomal RNA". It matches the Rfam family "Bacterial small subunit ribosomal RNA", at positions 509 to 809 of the family's 1533-position model. The record is from RNAcentral.
CAGCCGCCGCGGUAAUACGAGGGGGGCAAGCGUUGUUCGGAAUUAUUGGGCGUAAAGGGUGCGUAGGCGGUUUGGCAAGUUUGGUGUGAAAUCUUCGGGCUCAACUCGAAGUCUGCAUCGAAAACUGCCGGGCUUGAGUAUGGGAGAGGUGAGUGGAAUUUCCGGUGUAGCGGUGAAAUGCGUAGAUAUCGGAAGGAACACCUGUGGCGAAAGCGGCUCACUGGACCAUAACUGACGCUGAUGCACGAAAGCUAGGGGAGCAAACAGGAUUAGAUACCCCGGUAGUCCCUGUCUCUUAUAA